CACCGCGGUUAUACGAGAGACCCAAGUUGAUAGACAUCGGCGUAAAGCGUGGUUAAGAUCCCCUAAAACUAAAGCCGAACACCCUCAGGGCAGUUAUACGCAUCCGAAGGUACGAAGUUCCACCACGAAAGUGGCUUUAUCCCCCUGACCCCACGAAAGCUACGAAA
Molecule: ribosomal RNA, 167 nt
Filed under: Eumegistus illustris (brilliant pomfret)
Lineage: Eukaryota; Metazoa; Chordata; Actinopteri; Scombriformes; Bramidae
Description: partial 12S ribosomal RNA
Source: RNAcentral